AACGAACACUGGCGGCAUGCCUAACACAUGCAAGUCGAACGAGACCUUCGGGUCUAGUGGCGCACGGGUGCGUAACGCGUGGGAAUCUGCCCUUGGGUUCGGAAUAACAGUUAGAAAUGACUGCUAAUACCGGAUAAUGUCUUCGGACCAAAGAUUUAUCGCCCAGGGAUGAGCCCGCGUAGGAUUAGCUAGUUGGUGAAGGUAAAGGCUCACCAAGGCGACGAUCCUUAGCUGGUCUGAGAGGAUGAUCAGCCACACUGGGACUGAGACACGGCCCAGACUCCGUACGGGAGGCAGCAGGUGGGAAUAUUGGACAAUGGCGAAAGCCUGAUCCAGC
RNAcentral lists this ribosomal RNA (337 nucleotides) under uncultured bacterium. RNAcentral's name for it is "bacterial SSU rRNA". It matches the Rfam family "Bacterial small subunit ribosomal RNA", at positions 29 to 392 of the family's 1533-position model. The record is from RNAcentral.